UUCAUUAAGAAACGUGGCUUACAUCCACAUUUCAAUGUUAAGCUCUCUUACUACCUUGUUUUAGUUAAGUUUCUCGUUCUUUCUCCCUCUAAAAACUGUUAACGACACAGCACAUCUUUUGUUUCUUUUUAGUUUAAAGGGAAACAUAUCAUGUCUAGAACCAUGUAUUAGUGUCAGCGGUUAAGUUUCCUUCUCCUUUUGUGUGUUCUUUACGUGUUUCUUUGGGUGCUAGAUAAGCUAAAAAAUCUAAGCUCUUGGCUUUCUUGGGAAUCAGAGUGUGAUUGAACUGGGUUUUGGUUCUUGGAUCCGUUUCUUCUGAUUCCUUUGGGAUACGACUUUGGCAAUAAGAGGCUUACCUGAUAUGCUGGAGCUUUCCAAUUUAUAUCAAAUAGUUGGAGACAGAAGAUGAAAACAAAGUUGUCUGCCAUUACUGUGCUUUGUUAGAUUGGAGGCUCAAGAUGGAUGACACAUUUGCCAAUGCUCAAAAAGAUGGCCUGGGCAAAGAGGAUUCAUUGCAUAGCUUAAGCCAUGAUAGAGAAUUAUCUGGUGACCACGAGCUGGAUUGUUCCCAAUCAAAAUCUAGUAGGCUGACAAGAAGGGUAAAUUCACAUCAGUAUCUGCAUUUAAAAGUUAAGCAACUGCAACGCAGUAAAAGUUGCAUCAAAGAUUCGUUCCUUCGAAGCAUUCAUGUCUUAGACAAUUGGAUUCCAAAGCAUAUAAUAACAAUCGAUGAGAAAUAUCUUCGUCGUUGCCUAGAAUUCAUACAUGCCAGUACUUCUCAAGCGGCUCCAUGCAACGCCUCUAUGUACUUGGAUUGGGGAAACAUGGGUUUUUUCUCUGAUGGCCUGAAUAUAGCUAAAAUUGGGAAUAAAAAUACAUGUAGUUCGGCUGGGUUUGAUUUUGACUGUCCAUUGGCUGGGACCGGGAGUGUAGUCAUUAGCCCUGCAGAACAGUGGAUUGCUGGUUCAAUCAUGGGUAGCAAGAGCAUGGUGAAUAUACUGAAGAGUCCUUUAUUGCGCAGAUAUGGUGCAUAUGAUGGUGAUGCCAAUUUUGAGAAAGUGACUUCCAGCGAUGUUAAAGGAUCAAUAUGUUACGAUUUUAUGAACUCUCCUGGUGGAUUAAGUAGUUAUUCACCACACAAGCUCGAUAACGGAGCACAAACUCCAGGAAGCCAUAAAUAUGAAUCAGAGAGUUUGCACAAAAGGUUUGUUUCUAUGUCGAGUACAAACUCUACUUGUUCUGAUCAGUCCUCUUCUUCUCUCCCUGCUGCUGUUACUCAGGGGACGCUCCAGUGCACAUGGAAGGGGGGAAACCCACAUUUCAUCUUCUCCUUAGACGAUCAGAAGGUGGUCUACGUGGCCAACUUUUAUAAUGUUAAUUCAGCAGAUGAUAAGGCUCUAGAGUACGUGUAUUUAUUCCAUUCUAGAAAAGGUGGCCAAAAGGAACAUAUGAUUCAUGAUAAAGAGUCUCGCCUUGUAGGUCAGAUGAACGUAUCAACUUCCUUUUCUCUUUGCCCAAACAAUUGUAGAAUCAUGGAGAGAGAAUUUGUUUUGUUCGGUUGUUAUGAAAAUUUAGUGGGAGAGUUGCAAAGUUCAAGCCAUGACCUCAGGAAGAACAAGAGAUUGUCAAGCAGGGUGGUGGAAGUGUUCAGGACCAACAACUCAUUCAAGAAGAGAACUAACUCCAGAUUUGAUGGAUCUGGUGCAAUACUGGAGAAUUCUUCUUGGGAGCCUUUUCAAGAGAGAGAAUACAACAUGGACGCACUUGGUGGGGCCAAUCUCUUAGAAAAUCAUCUUCCACCAAAUCUUGAAUUGGCGGCCAUUUUGGUGAAAAAUCAUCUUCCUGAGAAGCGUCCAGAGAAGACUGGAGGUUGGGGUUUGAAUUUUCUCAAGAACACGGCUGUAACGCAAGCCAAGGAUACGAUGAAAUCCUCAGUACUUUCUGCCAGUUGUGCCCGAGAUACCGGUGAUUGCUCAACAAGCAUUGAUAUUCUCAUUCCAGCUGGUCUUCAUGGAGGUCCAAGGACCAGAAAUGGUGGUCCUUCCAGUCUUAUUGAUAGAUGGAGAUCAGGUGGGUACUGUGAUUGUGGUGGCUGGGACCUAGGGUGUCCGUUAACAGUACUCAAAAGCAGAUCAGCCAACAAGGAGUUUUCAUCCUCAGCAGAUAUGCAGGGGGAGUGCAAGUUAAUUAAUUUGUUCAUACAGGGUUCAGAGAAUGGUGCUCCCCCCUUGAGGAUGGUGAAUGUCCAUGAUGGCAUGUAUUCUGUGCAUUUUCAGUCAACAUUGUCAGCUCUGCAGACUUUCUCAAUAGCAUUGGCAUUUAUCCAUAGCCAAAAAGUCCCGCACUCCAACCAGAAUAUGUACAGGAGUUAAAGUAGGAAGAUUCAUGUCUCAGCUUGAUGUAGUUGUAACUCUCUUACUGUACCGCAGCGCUUCUUCAAUACUAGACUGUAUUGAUAAUCUGAAAGGAUUUUGGUGCAUUUGGCUAUCACAUGCACAUCUCAAGGGUAGAUGGAGGGCAUGUGCUUCUUAAAUGGCUGAAGUCACGUUGCUCCACAAGAGCGCAAGUUAAGCAGUCAAAGUUUCGAUUUUCAAGUGGAAAUAGCUGGGAUCUUUUUGUGGCUCAUGAUGCUUCAUAUUACUGCAUGGUUCCCAAUCAUGAAUCUAAACCUGUCAAUGUGCGGAUUGCAGGCCUCUUUCAUUUGCACUUUGGAGCCUUGGGUUGGUUGACUUGGUCAGUUCUGCUUUGAAGGUUCAAUAUCUCAAGAUGUUUCCAGGGCAAACUUGAGGAGCUAAUGGCUGGGCUGAUCUCAAAAGCUGGUGGGAAGUGGCACAUGGUUAAAGCCUAAAGAUUCUAUUUCACUCGUUUAAUGAUCUUCUAUUAUUAUAUCAAUGCAGUGUACUCUUUUUUCUGAACGAUCUAGGCAGUGUAUCUCUGUGCAUAUUUUGUUGUUUCUCUGUGGAUGCAAGUGAGACUUGGUUCUCUGCUUCUAUAACGUGGCAGGUGAUUUUUGACACGUUCCAUGGUCCUUCAGUGCCUCAAGUUGAAUUUAUCGGUUGUCCACUAAAGAACUGGACAAGUUCUUGCUUUUGUUGACCAUCACAUGCACACACAUAUUUGAGCGCGUAAAUACGAUACAUCCUGCUGUGUUAUAGUUUAGGAAUAGUUUUUUCUAGCAACAUUUUUUCCUUUGCACAGACACCCUAUAAUGGACCACGGUGACAUUCUGUGUCUUUUAGCAUUGAAAGCAGCUCCCCUGACUUUUUCAUCUCCCCUUGGUAGCUUCUGGAAAAGAAGGUAGCGCUUGGAACCAGGAAAGAAAGUAGUAGCUGAGUUGAUCAUGAGUGAGCUGUGUACAAGCAAACACACGUUGGUUACUGGAACAAUGGAACUGUUUGAGGGAAAAUUACACUGCAAAUCUUCACAAUCAAGGCUCCUUCUUGGCAGUUGGCAUUGAAACAGGGAAAACAAACCUAUUGUGAUCAGGCUUCCUCAAAAUUGAUGUCCAGUGUCUCAGGCACAGAACCAUCGUGUAUGCAAUAUUGUCAUGACAUUGCAUGCAUCUAAGCUUGCUAUAAUCAUAUCUCAUAUGGUCCUGGCCUCUUGCUAGAGUUCGUCGGAGAAGAAAGGAAACGAUCAUAUCCAAAGGCAGAGAACUGCUACAUAUUAUAUUUGCAAGUGUCUUUUCUCGGUCGUGGUAAAAUGGCCCAAGAAAUUGCUGUCUAGAAUUUAGGUUCAAGUAUUCGAAAUUGCUACCAGCGAGCAUUGCUCGGUCACUGUGUGGAGUUCAAGUCCGUGUUCCUGCACAGCUUGCUAGAUCAUCCAUUCCACUGCGUGCAUCUUAUGACUAGUUAAAACACAAAUCAUUAAAAGCUAGAUCAUUCUUUCCACAGCAUGAGCUAUAGAUUGACCAUUCCAUUUUCCAUCGGUUUUUGCUGGUCCUUGAGUAAAUGCCCCUGCAUCUGACAAGAUGUAUUUGUGUCUUCCAAGAUCAUGCCGCCUCAGGCUAAACAAUGUUACCCAAAUCAUAUAGAAGGUUCCGAGUAUUCGAAUGCUGGGCAUGUCAAGGCAUUGGGGUCAAAUUUCAUGUAUUGAAAGAAAAACAGAAAGGACUUGUGAUCUACUAGGCUUUUCCGGUCAACUUCGCAGUUCUCACGUGUAUGCAAGUUUCGUGUUAGAGGCUUUAGGUCCACCUUUUCACCUGGUCUCGUCGUCUUCCCAUUACUCUUCAACUCUACGCUCUAUCUAUUAGGCAUGAUAAUUUGUAUCUGCUUGUUGGGUAUUCUUAAAUAUUUUUAUUAUAUUUAUUUUUAUUUUUAUUUUUA
This is an RNA transcript of Populus trichocarpa (black cottonwood), 4325 nucleotides long. RefSeq lists it as uncharacterized. The transcript has 8 exons. The record is from RefSeq and is a predicted model, not a curated record. Lineage: Eukaryota; Viridiplantae; Streptophyta; Magnoliopsida; Malpighiales; Salicaceae.